CUGCCCGGAUAGCUCAGUCGGUAGAGCAUUAGGCUUUUAACCUAAGGGUCCAGGGUUCGAGUCCCUGUUCGCAGG
Macrosteles quadrilineatus (aster leafhopper) is the source of this 75-nucleotide non-coding RNA. NCBI's taxonomy places the organism in Eukaryota, Metazoa, Arthropoda, Insecta, Hemiptera, Cicadellidae. The record is from the annotation of a RefSeq genome assembly.